AACGCUAGCUACAGGCUUAACACAUGCAAGUCGAGGGGCAGCAUGAACUUAGCUUGCUAAGUUUGAUGGCGACCGGCGCACGGGUGAGUAACGCGUAUCCAACCUUCCGUUUACUCGGGGAUAGCCUUUCGAAAGAAAGAUUAAUAUCCGAUAGUAUGGUAAGAUUGCAUGAUAGUACCAUUAAAGAUUCAUCGGUAAACGAUGGGGAUGCGUUCCAUUAGGUAGUAGGCGGGGUAACGGCCCACCUAGCCUACGAUGGAUAGGGGUUCUGAGGGGAAGGUCCCCCACAUUGGAACUGAGACACGGUCCAAACUCCUACGGGAGGCAGCAGUGAGGAAUAUUGGUCAAUGGGCGGAAGCCUGAACCAGCCAAGUAGCGUGAAGGAUGAAGGUUCUAUGGAUCGUAAACUUCUUUUAUAAGGGAAUAACCGAUACCACGUGUGGUAUUCUGCAUGUACCUUAUGAAUAAGCAUCGGCUAACUCCGUGCCAGCAGCCGCGGUAAUACGGAGGAUGCGAGCGUUAUCCGGAUUUAUUGGGUUUAAAGGGAGCGUAGACGGGAUGUUAAGUCAGCUGUGAAAGUUUGGGGCUCAACCUUAAAAUUGCAGUUGAAACUGGCGUUCUUGAGUGCAUAUGAGGUGGGCGGAAUUCGUGGUGUAGCGGUGAAAUGCUUAGAUAUCACGAAGAACUCCGAUUG
RNAcentral lists this ribosomal RNA (694 nucleotides) under uncultured Bacteroidales bacterium. RNAcentral describes it as "bacterial SSU rRNA". It matches the Rfam family "Bacterial small subunit ribosomal RNA", at positions 32 to 715 of the family's 1533-position model. Lineage: Bacteria; Pseudomonadati; Bacteroidota; Bacteroidia; Bacteroidales. The record is from RNAcentral.